AAACCCUUGCUCUGAAGUCACAGGCCUGACUUCCAGACUAGGCUCUGCCCCUAAGGAAAUCACCUUUCUGGUCUUAGUCUCCCCAUCUGAAAAUGGCAUAACCAACCUACCUGCCUCAAAUACAAGACCUUGCUUGUGAAGCGUCUCCUGGCUCAGACCAGUGCUAGAAGUGUCCAGUCUAGCAGCUCCUGGACCAAGACUCCGUGGCCAUUCCCUUCCUCCUCCCUUCCAUCCACCCCCUUACGAUACAGAAAUUGAGAUACAGAGAGGUGAAGGAACUUCUCUCAGGCCCUACAGCUAAUGCAAGACGAGAAACUGCAGGACGAGACAGAGCAGCCUGUGAGCAAAGUAAUUGAGCGGAACCGUCUGAGAACGGUGUUAAAAAACUUGUCACUCUUGAAGCUACUCAAGAGCUCGAACCGCCGGAUCCAAGAACUGCAUAAGCUGGCCAAAAGGUGUUGGCAUUCACUGCUCAGUGUUCCAAAGAUUCUCCGCAUCUCCUCUGGGGAAAACAGUGCCUGCAAUAAAGCAAAACAAAAUAAUGAAGAGUUCCAGGAGAUCGGGUGCUCCGAGAAGGAACUC
Molecule: small RNA, 582 nt
Filed under: Pongo abelii (Sumatran orangutan)
Lineage: Eukaryota; Metazoa; Chordata; Mammalia; Primates; Hominidae
Description: processed transcript
Source: RNAcentral